Molecule: ribosomal RNA, 497 nt
Filed under: uncultured bacterium
Lineage: Bacteria
Description: partial 16S ribosomal RNA
Rfam family: Bacterial small subunit ribosomal RNA
Source: RNAcentral
GAUGAACGCUGGCGGCGUGCCUAAUACAUGCAAGUCGAGCGAACAGAUGAGGAGCUUGCUCCUCUGACGUUAGCGGCGGACGGGUGAGUAACACGUGGAUAACCUACCUAUAAGACUGGGAUAACUUCGGGAAACCGGAGCUAAUACCGGAUAAUAUAUUGAACCGCAUGGUUCAAUAGUGGAAGACGGUUUUGCUGUCACUUAUAGAUGGAUCCGCGCCGCAUUAGCUAGUUGGUAAGGUAACGGCUUACCAAGGCAACGAUGCGUAGCCGACCUGAGAGGGUGAUCGGCCACCCUGGAACUGAGACACGGUCCAGACUCCUACGGGAGGCAGCAGUAGGGAAUCUUCCGCAAUGGGCGAAAGCCUGACGGAGCAACGCCGCGUGAGUGAUGAAGGUCUUCGGAUCGUAAAACUCUGUUAUUAGGGAAGAACAAAUGUGUAAGUAACUAUGCACGUCUUGACGGUACCUAAUCAGAAAGCCACGGCUAACUACGUG